RNAcentral lists this ribosomal RNA (490 nucleotides) under uncultured bacterium. Its description in RNAcentral is "partial 16S ribosomal RNA". It matches the Rfam family "Bacterial small subunit ribosomal RNA", at positions 30 to 507 of the family's 1533-position model. The record is from RNAcentral.
AUUGAACGCUGGCGGCAGGCCUAACACAUGCAAGUCGAAUGGUAACAGGAAACAGCUUGCUGUUUCGCUGACGAGUGGCGGACGGGAGAGUAAUGUCUGGGAAACUGCCUGAUGGAGGGGGAUAACUACUGGAAACGGUAGCUAAUACCGCAUAACGUCGCAAGACCAAAGAGGGGGACCUUCGGGCCUCUUGCCAUCAGAUGUGCCCAGAUGGGAUUAGCUAGUAGGUGGGGUAACGGCUCACCUAGGCGACGAUCCCUAGCUGGUCUGAGAGGAUGACCAGCCACACUGGAACUGAGACACGGUCCAGACUCCUACGGGAGGCAGCAGUGGGGAAUAUUGCACAAAGGGCGCAAGCCUGAUGCAGCCAUGCCGCGUGUAUGAAGAAGGCCUUCGGGUUGUAAAGUACUUUCAGCGGGGAGGAAGGGAGUAAAGUUAAUACCUUUGCUCAUUGACGUUACCCGCAGAAGAAGCACCGGCUAACUCCGUG